Molecule: ribosomal RNA, 467 nt
Filed under: uncultured bacterium
Lineage: Bacteria
Description: partial 16S ribosomal RNA
Rfam family: Bacterial small subunit ribosomal RNA
Source: RNAcentral
ACGCACGCUGGCGGCGUGCUUCACACAUGCAAGUCGAACGGAAAGGCCCUGCUUUUGUGGGUUGCUCGGGUGGCGAACGGGUGAGUAACCCGUGAGUAACCUGCCCUUGCCUUUGGGUUAACUUCAGGAAACGGGGGCUAAUACCGGAAAGGCGCUCCUGCUGCAUGGUGGGGGUUGGAAAGUUUCGGCGGUUGGGGAUGGACUCGCGGCUUAUCAGCUUGUUGGUGGGGUAGUGGCUUACCAAGGCUUUGACGGGUAGCCGGCCUGAGAGGGUGACCGGCCACAUUGGGACUGAGAUACGGCCCAGACUCCUACGGGAGGCAGCAGUGGGGAAUAUUGCACAAUGGGCGGAAGCCUGAUGCAGCAACGCCGCGUGCGGGAUGACGGCCUUCGGGUUGUAAACCGCUUUCGCCUGUGACGAAGCGUGAGUGACGGUAAUGGGUAAAGAAGCACCGGCUAACUACGUG